RNAcentral lists this ribosomal RNA (500 nucleotides) under uncultured bacterium. RNAcentral's name for it is "partial 16S ribosomal RNA". It matches the Rfam family "Bacterial small subunit ribosomal RNA", at positions 30 to 523 of the family's 1533-position model. The record is from RNAcentral.
AUUGAACGCUGGCGGCAUGCCUUACACAUGCAAGUCGAACGGCAGCACGGGAGCAAUCCUGGUGGCGAGUGGCGAACGGGUGAGUAAAGUAUCGGAACGUGCCCAGUCGUGGGGGAUAACGUAGCGAAAGUUACGCUAAUACCGCAUACGAUCUAUGGAUGAAAGCGGGGGAUCGCAAGACCUCGCGCGAUUGGAGCGGCCGAUAUCAGAUUAGGUAGUUGGUGGGGUAAAGGCUCACCAAGCCGACGAUCUGUAGCUGGUCUGAGAGGACGGCCAGCAACAAUGGGACUGAGACACGGCCCAGACUCCGACGGGAGGCAGCAGUGGGGAAUUUUGGACAAUGGGCGAAAGCCUGAUCCAGCCAUGCCGCGUGCGGGAUGAAGGCCUUCGGGUUGUAAACUGCUUUUGUACGGAACGAAAAGGUUUGGCCUAAUAAGCUGAGCUCAUGACGGUACCGUAAGAAUAAGCACCGGCUAACUACGUGCCAGCCGCCGCAGUAA